This is a non-coding RNA of Paramuricea clavata, 228 nucleotides long. The record is from the annotation of a GenBank genome assembly. Lineage: Eukaryota; Metazoa; Cnidaria; Anthozoa; Malacalcyonacea; Plexauridae.
CGCUCAAUCUCGUUCCCCGAGCCUGCGAUCCUUGGGAAGGAAACGAAGGCUCUGGGAUAAUCCAUGUCAGACAUACAUGCAGAAAACUGUAUGUCGACCGAACUGCGCAUGCGUUGGCAAAAGCAAAACAAAUUGUUUGAAAUAUUUUAUUGUUUCGUCUAUAAAAUGAUGAUUUUUUCUGGGUUUUGGUGGAAAUGUUGAUGUUCUUCAUAGUGGGAUACAAAAGAU